RNAcentral lists this ribosomal RNA (495 nucleotides) under uncultured bacterium. Its description in RNAcentral is "partial 16S ribosomal RNA". It matches the Rfam family "Bacterial small subunit ribosomal RNA", at positions 28 to 507 of the family's 1533-position model. The record is from RNAcentral.
GACGAACGCUGGCGGCGUGCCUAAUACAUGCAAGUCGAACGCUGAAGGAGGAGCUUGCUUCUCUGGAUGAGUUGCGAACGGGUGAGUAACGCGUAGGUAACCUGCCUGGUAGCGGGGGAUAACUAUUGGAAACGAUAGCUAAUACCGCAUAAUAGUAGAUGUUGCAUGACAUUUGCUUAAAAGGUGCAAUUGCAUCACUACCAGAUGGACCUGCGUUGUAUUAGCUAGUUGGUGGGGUAACGGCUCACCAAGGCGACGAUACAUAACCGACCUGAGAGGGUGAUCGGCCACACUGGGACUGAGACACGGCCCAGACUCCUACGGGAGGCAGCAGUAGGGAAUCUUCGGCAAUGGACGGAAGUCUGACCGAGCAACGCCGCGGGAGUGAAGAAGGUUUUCGGAUCGUAAAGCUCUGUUGUAAGAGAAGAACGAGUGUGAGAGUGGAAAGUUCACACUGUGACGGUAUCUUACCAGAAAGGGACGGCUAACUACGUG